RNAcentral lists this ribosomal RNA (484 nucleotides) under uncultured bacterium. RNAcentral's name for it is "partial 16S ribosomal RNA". It matches the Rfam family "Bacterial small subunit ribosomal RNA", at positions 29 to 507 of the family's 1533-position model. The record is from RNAcentral.
AUUGAACGCUGGCGGCAUGCUUUACACAUGCCAGUCGAACGGCAGCGCGGGCUUCGGCCUGGCGGCGAGUGGCGAACGGGUGAGUAAUGCAUCGGAACGUGCCCAGUAGUGGGGGAUAGCCCGGCGAAAGCCGGAUUAAUACCGCAUACGACCUGAGGGUGAAAGCGGGGGACCGACAGGCCUCGCGCUAUUGGAGCGGCCGAUGUCGGAUUAGCUAGUUGGUGGGGUAAAGGCUUACCAAGGCGACGAUCCGUAGCUGGUCUGAGAGGACGACCAGCCACACUGGAACUGAGACACGGCCCAGACUCCUACGGGAGGCAGCAGUGGGGAAUAUUGGACAAUGGGGGCAAGCCUGAUCCAGCCAUGCCGCGUGAGGGAAGAAGGCCUUCGGGUUGUAAAACGCUUUUAUUCGGGAAGAAAUCCUCUGGGAUAAUACCCCGGGGGGAUGACGGUACCGGAAGAAUAAGCACCGGCUAACUACGUG